AGAGCGAACGCUGGCGGCAUGCUUAACACAUGCAAGUCGCACGGUCGGAGCAAUCCGGCAGUGGCGGACGGGUGAGUAACGCGUAGGUAUCUAUCCUUGGGUGGGGGAUAACGCCGGGAAACUGGUGCUAAUACCGCAUGACGACUGAGGUCCAAAGGCGCAAGUCGCCUGGGGAGGAGCCUGCGUCCGAUUAGCUUGUUGGUGGGGUAAUGGCCUACCAAGGCGACGAUCGGUAGCUGGUCUGAGAGGAUGAUCAGCCACAUUGGGACUGAGACACGGCCCAAACUCCUACGGGAGGCAGCAGUGGGGAAUAUUGGACAAUGGGCGAAAGCCUGAUCCAGCAAUGCCGCGUGGAUGAAGAAGGUCUUCGGAUUGUAAAGUCCUUUCGGCGGGACGAUGAUGACGGUACCCGCAGAGAAGCCCCGGCUAACUUCGUGCCAGCAGCCGC
RNAcentral lists this ribosomal RNA (448 nucleotides) under uncultured bacterium. RNAcentral describes it as "SSU rRNA". It matches the Rfam family "Bacterial small subunit ribosomal RNA", at positions 26 to 518 of the family's 1533-position model. The record is from RNAcentral.